RNAcentral lists this transfer RNA (85 nucleotides) under Felis catus (domestic cat). It matches the Rfam family "tRNA". From Rfam's summary of the family: Transfer RNA (tRNA) molecules are approximately 80 nucleotides in length. Their secondary structure includes four short double-helical elements and three loops (D, anti-codon, and T loops). The record is from Rfam by way of RNAcentral. Lineage: Eukaryota; Metazoa; Chordata; Mammalia; Carnivora; Felidae.
GCCUGGGUGGCUCAGUCGGUCGAGCAUCUGACUUCAGCUCAGGUCAUGAUCUCACGGUUCAUGGGUUCGAGCCCCGCGUCGGGCU